Molecule: long non-coding RNA, 384 nt
Filed under: Elaeis guineensis (African oil palm)
Lineage: Eukaryota; Viridiplantae; Streptophyta; Magnoliopsida; Arecales; Arecaceae
Description: long non-coding RNA (EGUI_LNC003477)
Source: RNAcentral
GAUGAAAUCAUAUGUUUCAUAAAAUAAGGAUCAGCAUAUGUGAUAUGAAAAAGCAUGUUUUAUUAUGAGUAUUGAUUUCAUGAAUAUAUCUUAUGAAAAUAGCAUGAUUAUAAAGUAUGAAUUUUAUGAUUUUGCCACCUAUGUAUAUGUAUGUUUUAAGCAAAAGAUAUAAUGAUUUCAAAGGCUCUCAGAUAGCUAUGAACGAAUUCCUUCGGAAAGGUCGACAUCCGGAGCUAGCAUCCAUAAGAACACAGGCCCUACCAGCACGUAUAAAGUUGGCAUACGAAACAUAAACUUAUCGAUUAAAAACACUGGCCCUGUCAUGGGUAUAAAGUGACUAUAGCACGAAUAUCUAUGAGCAAGAUUUGAAAAUAUCAUAUGGAC